CCGUAGAGAGUUUGUAGUCCUGGCUCAGGAUGAACGCUGGCGGCGGUGCCUAACACAUGCAAGUCGAGCGAAGCGCUUAAGUCAGAAUCUUCGGAGGAAGACUUUUGUGACUGAGCGGCGGACGGGUGAGUAACGCGUGGGUAACCUGCCUUACACAGGGGGAGUAACAGUUAGAAAUGACUGCUAAUACCGCAUAAGACCACAGUACUGCAUGGUACAGUGGUAAAAACUGAGGUGGUGUAAGAUGGACCCGCGUCUGAUUAGGUAGUUGGUGGGGUAAUGGCCCACCAAGCCGACGAUCAGUAGCCGGCCUGAGAGGGUGGACGGCCACAUUGGGACUGAGACACGGCCCAGACUCCUACGGGAGGCAGUAGUGGGGAAUAUUGCACAAUGGGGGAAACCCUGAUGCAGCGACGCCGCGUGAGCGAUGAAGUAUUUCGGUAUGUAAAGCUCUAUCAGCAGGGAAGAAAAUGACGGUACCUGACUAAGAAGCCCCGGCUAACUACGUG
RNAcentral lists this ribosomal RNA (509 nucleotides) under uncultured Dorea sp. RNAcentral's name for it is "bacterial SSU rRNA". It matches the Rfam family "Bacterial small subunit ribosomal RNA", at positions 1 to 507 of the family's 1533-position model. Lineage: Bacteria; Bacillati; Bacillota; Clostridia; Lachnospirales; Lachnospiraceae. The record is from RNAcentral.